UACAGAGGGUGCGAGCGUUAAUCGGAAUUACUGGGCGUAAAGCGCGCGUCGGCGGCUUUGCAAGCCGGAUGUGAAAUCCCCGGGCUUAACCUGGGAACUGCAUUCGGGACUGCAUGGCUAGAGUAUGGGAGAGGGAAGUGGAAUUUCAGGUGUAGCGGUGAAAUGCGUAGAUAUCAAGAGGAACACCUGCGGCGAAGGCGGGUUGCUGGGCCGACACUGACGCUGAGGCGCGAAAGCCAGGGGAGCGAACGGG
This 253-nucleotide ribosomal RNA is filed under the name uncultured bacterium. Its description in RNAcentral is "partial 16S ribosomal RNA". It matches the Rfam family "Bacterial small subunit ribosomal RNA", at positions 524 to 776 of the family's 1533-position model. The record is from RNAcentral.